ACUACAUGAAAACCAUAGGUGACAGUGA
Molecule: non-coding RNA, 28 nt
Filed under: Trypanosoma brucei brucei
Lineage: Eukaryota; Euglenozoa; Kinetoplastea; Trypanosomatida; Trypanosomatidae
Source: RNAcentral